RNAcentral lists this ribosomal RNA (730 nucleotides) under uncultured bacterium. Its description in RNAcentral is "bacterial SSU rRNA". It matches the Rfam family "Bacterial small subunit ribosomal RNA", at positions 130 to 845 of the family's 1533-position model. The record is from RNAcentral.
CCUCUUGUUCGGGAUAACUGCUGGAAACGGCAGCUAAUACCGGAUAAGCUCCCCCAAUUGUAUGGGGAGGAAAGGAGGCCUCUUCAUGAAAGCUUCCGCGAGGGGAUGAGUCCGCGUCCCAUUAGCUAGUUGGUGAGGUAACGGCCCACCAAGGCAACGAUGGGUAGCCGGUCUAAGAGGAUGACCGGCCACACUGGAACUGAAACACGGUCCAGACUCCUACGGGAGGCAGCAGUGGGGAAUAUUGCGCAAUGGACGAAAGUCUGACGCAGCGACGCCGCGUGAGGGAUGAAGGUUUUCGGAUCGUAAACCUCUGUCAGGAGGGAAGAAAGCGCAUGGCGCCAAUCAGCCAUGCGUUGACGGUACCUCCAAAGGAAGCGCCGGCUAACUCCGUGCCAGCAGCCGCGGUAAUACGGAGGGCGCGAGCGUUAAUCGGAAUUACUGGGCGUAAAGCGCGCGUAGGCUGUUGUGUAAGUUGGGGGUGAAAUCCCACGGCUCAACCGUGGAACAGCCCUUGAUACUGCGCGACUUGAAUCCGGGAGAGGGUGGCGGAAUUCCAGGUGUAGGAGUGAAAUCCGUAGAUAUCUGGAGGAACAUCAGUGGCGAAGGCGGCCACCUGGACCGGUAUUGACGCUGAGGCGCGAAAGCGUGGGGAGCAAACAGGAUUAGAUACCCUGGUAGUCCACGCUGUAACCGAUGGAUGCUGGAUGUCGGGGAGUAAUCCCCGGUG